This 72-nucleotide transfer RNA is filed under the name Dipodomys ordii (Ord's kangaroo rat). It matches the Rfam family "tRNA". Rfam says of the family: Transfer RNA (tRNA) molecules are approximately 80 nucleotides in length. Their secondary structure includes four short double-helical elements and three loops (D, anti-codon, and T loops). Lineage: Eukaryota; Metazoa; Chordata; Mammalia; Rodentia; Heteromyidae. The record is from Rfam by way of RNAcentral.
GCGAAGGUAGCUCAGUGGUAGAGUGCUUGCCUUGCAUGCAUGAGGCCCUGGGUUUGAUUCCUCAGCAUCACA